AUGGAUCCCAAAGACCAUUGGAGACCCCCAAAACCCUCUGGAGACCCCCAAAGACCAUUGGUGGAUCCCAAAAAUCAAUGGAGAUCCCCAAAGACCAUCGAUGGACCCCAAAACCAUUGGAGACCCCCAAACACCGUUGGUGGAUCCCAAAAAUCAAUGGAGACCCCCAAAGACCAUCGAUGGACCCCAAAACCAUUGCAGACCCCCGAAACCCAACGGUGGACCACCAAAGACCAUCAAUGGAUCCCAAAGACCAUUGGAGACCCCCAAAGACCAUUGAUGGACCCCAAAGACCAUUGGGGACCCCCAAAAGCCUCUGAUGGAACCCAGAAAGCUUUGGAGACCCCCCAAAGACCACUGGAGAAUCCCAAGGCCAAUCGAUGGACCCCAGAGACCAUUGGAGACCCCAAAAAACCACUGGUGGACCCCCAAAGUGCUUGGGAGAACCUAAAGGCCACUGGUGGACCACCAAAGACCACUGGAGACCCACAAAGUCAAUCCAUGGAUCCCAAAGACCAUUGGAGACCCCCAAAAACCAUUGAUGGACCACCAAAGACCACUGGAGACCCCCAAAACCCAACGGUGGACCACCAAAGACCAUGGAUGGAUCCCAAAGACCAUUGGAGACCCCCAAAGACCAUCAAUGGACCCCAAAGACCAUUGGGGACCCCCAAAGACCAUGGAUGGAUCCCAAAGACCAUUGGAGACCCCCAAAGACCAUCGAUGGACCCCAAAGACCAUUGGGGACCCCCAAAGACCAUCGAUGGACCCCAAAGACCACUGGUGGACCACCAAAACCCUCUGAUGGAACCCAGAAACCUUUGGAGACCCCCCAAAGACCACUGGAGAAUCCCAAGGCCAAUUGAUGGACCCCAAAGACCACUGGAGACCCACAAAGUCAAUCCAUGGAUGCCAAAGACCAUUGGGGACCCCCAAAGACCAUUGAUGGACCCCAAAGACCAUUGGAGACCCCCCAAAACCCAACGGUGGACCACCAAAGACCAUGGAUGGAUCCCAAAGACCAUUGGAGACCCCCAAAGACCGUUGAUGGACCCCAAAGACCACUGGUGGACCACCAAAGACCAUUGA
RNAcentral lists this long non-coding RNA (1089 nucleotides) under Numida meleagris (helmeted guineafowl). RNAcentral describes it as "lncRNA (ENSNMEG00000002517.1)". Lineage: Eukaryota; Metazoa; Chordata; Aves; Galliformes; Numididae. The record is from RNAcentral.